Molecule: ribosomal RNA, 253 nt
Filed under: uncultured bacterium
Lineage: Bacteria
Description: partial 16S ribosomal RNA
Rfam family: Bacterial small subunit ribosomal RNA
Source: RNAcentral
UACGUAGGGCGCAAGCGUUGUCCGGAAUUAUUGGGCGUAAAGAGCUCGUAGGCGGUUUGUCACGUCGGAUGUGAAAGCCCGGGGCUUAACCCCGGGUCUGCAUUCGAUACGGGCAGACUAGAGUGUGGUAGGGGAGAUCGGAAUUCCUGGUGUAGCGGUGAAAUGCGCAGAUAUCAGGAGGAACACCGGUGGCGAAGGCGGAUCUCUGGGCCAUUACUGACGCUGAGGAGCGAAAGCGUGGGGAGCGAACAGG